CCUACGGGGGGCAGCAGUGAGGAAUAUUGGUCAAUGGGCGCGAGCCUGAACCAGCCAAGUAGCGUGAAGGAUGACUGCCCUACGGGUUGUAAACUUCUUUUGUCAAGGGACAAAAUCAGGCUCGAGAGCCUGACCGAGGGUACUUGAAGAAAAAGCAUCGGCUAACUCCGUGCCAGCAGCCGCGGUAAUACGGAGGAUCCGAGCGUUAUCCGGAUUUAUUGGGUUUAAAGGGAGCGUAGAUGGGUUGUUAAGUCAGUUGUGAAAGUUUGCGGCUCAACCGUAAAAUUGCAAUUGAUACUGGCAGUCUUGAGUACAGUUGAGGUAGGCGGAAUUCGUGGUGUAGCGGUGAAAUGCUUAGAUAUCACGAAGAACUCCGAUUGCGAAGGCAGCUUACUAAACUGCCACUGACAUUGAUGCUCGAAAGUGUGGGUAUCAAACAGGAUUAGAUACCCCGGUAGUC
Molecule: ribosomal RNA, 460 nt
Filed under: uncultured bacterium
Lineage: Bacteria
Description: partial 16S ribosomal RNA
Rfam family: Bacterial small subunit ribosomal RNA
Source: RNAcentral